UACUGUAAACAGGAAGGAUGUUUCCGGAACACAACACAUUGAAGCCUUCUACAACGACCUAGUCACCACACAUGGAUCAGCGAAAAAUUUACCCAUAUCGUGCACUUCAAAAAUGAGACCUGGUUUGUGUUUUUUCCCCCAAAACAUGGCUCAGCAAAUUCAAACACCACUUUUUCUAGUAAACGCAGCCUACGAUUCAUGGCAG
Camellia sinensis is the source of this 205-nucleotide non-coding RNA. The record is from RefSeq and is a predicted model, not a curated record. NCBI's taxonomy places the organism in Eukaryota, Viridiplantae, Streptophyta, Magnoliopsida, Ericales, Theaceae.